UGGGCAACCUGCCCCUCUCUCUGGGAUAACCCCCGGGGAAACCGGAGCUAAUACCGGAUACUCCGGCUGGAUCGCAUGGUCCGGCCGGGAAAGGUCCGCCGGAGAGGGAUGGGCCCGCGGCCUAUCAGCUUGUUGGUGGGGUCAUGGCUCACCAAGGCGACGACGGGUAGCUGGUCUGAGAGGACGACCAGCCACACUGGAACUGAGAUACGGUCCAGACCUCCGUACGGGAGCA
RNAcentral lists this ribosomal RNA (235 nucleotides) under uncultured bacterium. RNAcentral describes it as "partial 16S ribosomal RNA". It matches the Rfam family "Bacterial small subunit ribosomal RNA", at positions 118 to 347 of the family's 1533-position model. The record is from RNAcentral.